RNAcentral lists this ribosomal RNA (453 nucleotides) under uncultured Syntrophomonas sp. Its description in RNAcentral is "bacterial SSU rRNA". It matches the Rfam family "Bacterial small subunit ribosomal RNA", at positions 930 to 1382 of the family's 1533-position model. Lineage: Bacteria; Bacillati; Bacillota; Clostridia; Eubacteriales; Syntrophomonadaceae. The record is from RNAcentral.
CGGUGGAGCAUGUGGUUUAAUUCGAUGCAACGCGGAGAACCUUACCAGGUCUUGACAUCCAAAGAAUCCUUCUGAAAGGAAGGAGUGCCUUCGGGAGCUUUGAGACAGGUGGUGCAUGGUUGUCGUCAGCUCGUGUCGUGAGAUGUUGGGUUAAGUCCCGCAACGAGCGCAACCCUUGCUAUUAGUUGCUAACACAUAAUGGUGAGCACUCUAAUGGGACUGCCGGUGACAAGCCGGAGGAAGGUGGGGAUGACGUCAAAUCAUCAUGCCCUUUAUGACCUGGGCUACACACGUGCUACAAUGGAUGGUACAGAGAGCAGCAAGACCGCGAGGUGGAGCGAAUCUCAAAAAGCCAUUCUCAGUUCGGAUUGGAGUCUGCAACUCGACUCCAUGAAGUCGGAAUCGCUAGUAAUCGCGAAUCAGCAUGUCGCGGUGAAUGCGUUCCCGGGCCUU